CCUCAAGUUGUGGGUCCUGCACAGUCAUUUAAUGUGCAGAUGCUUUGGGAAUUUGAUCUUUGCAAACUCCUACACAAAUUGCCCUAAGGGUUAUUUCUUGGGACUGAUGUCUGGAACUUAGGCGGCAGUCUUGCAUGACAAGGCCAUGUGACCCAUUCGCUCCCAAUGUAAUGAAGCAGAAUGUAGACCAGUCAAGACAGCAGAAUGUAGGUUUUGCAGGGUUAAGAUAGGCCGCAACUUUAUUGGUUACAGAUAUGAAAGAACUGAGGAGAAGUGCUGGGCUGGCCUCAAUUUAUUCCUCAGCGGGUGGGCACAAUGGCGGCCCACUGACCUGCAGUCCUCCCCAGCCAGCUGCCAGAUCGUGGCUAGGCUGCAAUGCUGCCUGACAGUUUAAGGUAAGCAGACUUAAAGUCUCAAGCUGAACAUAAGGCUAAUGGAACUUACUACUGAAUAGGAUAGUGGCCUGUCAGUGAUCCUACAGAUUCUGCACUCCCCCAAACGUGGUAAUGCGGUUUAAACUGUCUUAAAAUAUGAAUUAAAAGGUGAACUUUUGCAAUAAGAUAACGUUGAUUUUGAGAGGAAAACUACAUUUGUGCAUUUAUUAAAAUGCACAAGGGGCUUUGGAAUACAGUAAGCCUGCAACUUAUGCACAUUUAGCUUGUGCGCAUUCAGCUUUAUGAGUGAAACAAAAAAAUGAAGAAAAAAGCAGUGGAAACAGGGCAGGGUUCAAUGGGAAAUGACAUUGGCAGUCCCACCUGCCAUUGAACCCAGUGGGUUUUGACUAAACACAAUUUUGGCUUUAGGCAUGAUCCCCAGAAUAUAACCCCUAUGUAAGUUGCAGGUUCACUGCACUUUUUAAAAAUUGUUGUUGUUGUUUAGUCAUGUCCAAUUCUUCAUGACCCCAUGAACCAUAGAAUGCCAGGCACUCCUGUCUUCCACUGCCUCCCACAGCUUGGUCAAACUCAUGUUCAUAGCUUCGAGAACACUGUCCAACCAUCUCAUCCUCUGUCGUUCCCUUCUCCUUGUGCCCUCAAUCUUUCCCAACAUCAGGGUCUUUUCCAGAGAGUCUUCUCUUCUCAUGAGGUGGCCAAAAUAUUGGAGCCUCAGCUUCAGGAUCUGUCCUUUUUUUAAUUAAAAAGGUGCAGAUUGAUGCAAAAGUGGAUCUACUAUGGCACGAUGAGAAAUAGGCUGAUUUGGCCAUCCCUGGUUUAAUGCUUAAAUGAAGAAUUGUUUGCUUUGCACACUAUCUGAUCACAGGGUUAGGCUGUGCUCAAAACCCCAUAGAAAUUCUCAAGUGCCUUGAGAAUGAGUCAGAAAAAUGGAAACCUUUCACACAUUGGAAUAAAACUUUCAAAAAGCUAGAAUAUACAUAUUGACACGGCACUAAUCUUAACAGACUGAUCUUGCAAAAAAUAAUAAUGUUUCAUUCUUUAAAAGUUGUGUACAGGGUUUCUUUUGAGAUUAUCCAGCAUCUUUUAUAAUCUUUAGGAGGAAUACAAACAUAUUUGAUCUUAUGUGUCUCAAUUCUGAGCUGUUAUCUCUCAAAUUACUGGUGUUAAUGUCAGGUCUGACCCUAUGGUGGACUUGCUGAAUCACAUUAAUAAUCAUUUUCAGUGGGCUGCUGAAUUAUUUUUUAAAAACCAUUUAUUAGCUACCAAGAUUGUUCUGGCCUGACAAUGGAGAAUAGCUGUAAACCUGCAAUCAAAUGGUGGCUGAUAAAAGUGUUAAAAGUGUAAGAAAAACGCUGGGGCCUAAAUUGAUCAGUAGAGUGUUUGGUAUGUGGUGGGCGGGGCUUGUGUGUUCUACUCCGGAAUCAGCCCCUCCCUUCAGUCUGUGUUCUGUUAAGAAUGUCAGUUAAGAGGGACCAACUGCCUCUUCUUGCCUCAGACUUGCCCUAUGUGGUUGUAUUUAGUUUCUCUCAUUAUGCAGUUUUGAUUAUUAUUAAAGCUUAGUUUAUAUUUUUGCGAGCCUCUUAUUUUUCUCGAAGAAACUCUGCUGAGGAAAGCAGUGGAAUGUCCUAAACUACAUGAGUGAGGGAAUAUUCCCAGUUUGCCAGGAUUGAUUUUGUUAACCAUCCUCACCACCACCCCCCCACACCUCCAUGACAAAAAGAUUGCUGAAAUAAGAUUACAGACAAGAUUCAAUGAGGAAAAAGUUCAGACUGCAAAGGGGAGAAAAAUGGUCUUCAUUUACUGUAUAUUUAAUGAUUUUUAAAACUCACUGGUUUACAACCACAACUCACAUAGUGUUUGUUAUGCCAUGCCAUGCCAAUCUCUACGAGCAGUGUGAGAUUCCAGGGGUAUCAGGCGUGCUUACCAGGGUCUGUGUUCCCUUUCGGGACAGUGAGGCACCACAGAGACUUGUGGUGUCUUUAUAUGGUUUAUUUACACAUAUAUGUAACCUGCACCUAAAUGGGAGGAUUGUAGAGCAUUCACAUCCUAAGAGGGGCUGGUGCUUCCCAGCAGUACAACAUUGGAUUCAGAGGCACCCCUUGUCUAGUUCUGCCGCUUCCUCCUCCUUUCCAGCAACACUUGUAGAAAACAACUUUUCUGCUUCCAGCAUCCUGCCCCCCGCCCCGGUCACACUGGCAACUUACUCAAGCCCACUGCAAAAGGCCCUUUUUCCCUAUUGCUUACAGCAGACGAUUGGCAAUCCUACCCAAAAAAACUACUGGGAACAGAGUCUGAUAUUUUGCCAAUUGCUCACCAUUAUCAAACAAACCAGGUCCUUACCAGCCCUUUGCUUCUUCAAGACCCACCCACAGCAAACCGUUUCAUGAGGAAGCUAGCUAGUAUUCUUUCCUGCCCUUGCUAAUUAAUAAAUGUAUGAGUUUGCUCAAAUUCUAAUCCUUCACUGAAUGUAGAGCUUAUGGGUGGUCUGCCCACCCCCACCCCCCGGGCAAGUUAUAACAGUAGGAACACAAGCAGCUGCCUUAUACCCUUAUCAGACCAACUAGUGGUCCAUCUAACUAAGUGUUUCUACACUGUUUGCAAGUGAGUCUCCUUUCCUAGAGAAAUUGUGUGUGCCAAAAUACACACAUAAAGUGUUGGAGUGGCAUUGCCACUAGGAAACAAUAGAGGUAUCCAUGUCUAAACCAGAUUAUAUGUAAAUUCCUCCACACAGCUGCCACCUCAGAAGUGUUUAGGCUAUCCUGAAGGCCUCGGAUACUUUUAAAGCCCCAUCGGCAACAUCCUUUAAAACCUAAAUGGCUUACCUGCUCAUGAAUUUGUCUCAUGAAUGCAGUGAAGUAGCAUCCUAGAAUCAUAUUUACUUAGCUGAUGAGACCAGAUGAAUGAAAAUGUGUCAUCUGUUCACUCCAGGCAAAAUGUAUGGUAUAUUGCUAACAUCGCAUAUUUAAAAUAAUUUUACCCAGAUUUAAAAUCUAGGGCAAAAACAAAUAUGUCCUCCUAAUCCCGGAACACACGGCAACCGUCGGAACUGCAAUAAGUGAUUUAAAGCUUAAAUUCUGUAUUAACCACCCGGCACACAUGGAAGAUUUUCUUUGAAAUAAUAAUAUGCAAAGGCUCCAAAGUCAUUAACCACUAAACAAACUAUGGGGAAAAGAAUUUUUGGAAAUGCCUGAUCUUGAAAACACAAUAGUUUCACUUUUUAUCUCUUUAGCAAAGCUGCUUAAACUCUACACAAUUGGAAGAGCCACCAUCAGCUUUUCUAAGGAAGUUUGAGAACAGCCCACUACAUUUCUUCAGAUUGCUGAAGAUUUGAGGGAACAGCAAAAGUAAUACUGUUUGUUAGGUCUGUCUCUGCAUCUUUUCCUCACCAUCUGGUGAGGACCUUACUCAGAGUUUGGCUCCCCUCUUUCAUUACAGGAAGCCAUUCUGUUUGCUUUGUUUUACAUACAAUGUUGUCUCCCCUGUAUUUUCUUUCCUCCUCUUCUUUCUCAGUCUCAUAAAUCUUUCCUCCCAUCCAUUCUCUUGUAUUAGCAAUUAGGGAUUAGUGAUGGCACACCCUAGGCUCAAGUUGGGGCAUCUUCCAGGAAUGAAUCUCUCACUCCUGUUGCCUAGUGUGACCCUGCACCAUGACAGGAUUCAACACUGGGCAACACCCAGUGAGGGGGUUGGGGUGUUUCCCAACCCUGAUGGAAUGCUAUUCCAACAGUAUGGUCUGAGUGGAAUGCCCUGCAAUCCUACUGCCAUGCCAACAUCUCUCCCCACCUAAUAAUCAUUAAGGAUUUGGCCUGUUUUCACCAAACUCUUGGUCUCCUGUGUUGACUUUCACAGGCCACAAAAUGUGCCUGCCUGGGCAAACCACUGCUGCACCCUCCCUGCAAUCCUUCCAAUGUGAGGUGUUCCCACUCACCUAGAGUCCUACCAGCACUUGGAAAAUCAAGACAUAACUUGCAAUGGAGAGGACUAACCCACACUUUACCUUUUGCACCACUCUCUUCAGGCGCUCGUCUACUUUUAAAAGCUCCGUGUCUGAGCAGUUUUGCUUUGUUUUGUUUGUUUUGUUUUGCCCUGGAGCUUUGCCCCCGAAAACGCACUCUUUGGCACCCAACUGGAGCAAACGUCAAUUCAGGUUUUCUGGAGAUUGCUGUUUACUCCAAUUGAACUUUAAAGAACAGGUGAGGACCAUGCCUGGCAAGAGCGUAGCAAAGAUAAGUGUGGAUAAGCCCAAAGUUACAGGGACAAGCAAACUCAGUUUUGGUUCCCUACCCUUUUUAAACCCAUCAUGAGCUAGAGGGCAAACCUCUGAACCAGGGCAUGUACUCAACUCAGGAAAGAUUCCUUACCUGGUUAAGAACUCAGGAGUUAUAUUUAUGGUUAUCCUAGAGCAAAGUGAGAUUCCACUGUGAAUCAGCUAAAUUACCAUUCAUCAAGAAGUUGAAUUCUUUUCAUUUGGGUGUGAAUAGGGACAAUGGCUUGCCCUACCACAACUGAUGUUAAUUAAUUCAUCAUGGCUAAGAUGGUUGUAUUGUAAUCUAUCACUCUGAAGGGUCACUGCUUAUUUUGCCUGCAUUUAAGUGCUAAUUUAGUUGUCAGUAGCUGUACUUAUUUUUUUCAAUUCUCUCUGACCAUACUGCUUGCAAAUAAUAAUAAUAAUAAUAAUGGCAAUUAUUAUUAUUAUUAUUAUUUGUAUCCCACCGACCUAACUGGGUUUGCCCAGCCACUCUGGGCGGCUCACAGCAUAUAUCAGAGCAUACUAAAACAUCAAACAUUUAAAACUUCCCAAUACAGGACUGCCUUUAAAAGUCAGAUAGUUGUUUAUUUCCUUAACAUCUGAAGGGAGGGUGUUCCACAGGGAGAGUAUCCCUACCAAGAAGGCCCUCGGCCCAGUUCCCUACAACCUCACUUCUUGCAGUGAGGGAACCAGAAGAAUAUUCUUGGAGGAGGACCUCAGUGUCUGGGCUGAAUGAUGAGAGAGGAAACUCUACUUCAGGUAUACAGGACCGUGGCUGUUUAGGGCUUUAAAGGUCAGCACCAACACUUUGAAUUGUGCUCGGAAACACACUGGGAGACAAUGAAGCUCUUUUAGGACUGGUGUUAUAUGGUCCUGGCGGCCACUCCCAGUCACCAGUCUAGCUGCCAUAUUCUGGAUUAGUUGUAGUUUCUGGGUUGCUCUCAAAGUUAGCCCCACAUAGAGUGCACUGCAGUAGUCCAAGGGGGAGAUAAGCAGAACAUGCACCACUUGGGUGAGACAGUCUGCGGGCAGGUAAGGUCUCAGCCGGCGUACCAGGUGGAGCUGGUAGACAGCUGCCCUGGACACAGAAUUGACCUGCGCCAUGGACAGCUGUGAGUGCAAAAUGACUCCCAGACUGCACACCUGGUCCUUCAGGGGCACACUUUCCUCAUUCAGGACCAGGGAGUUCUCCACACCUCCUGUCUCCCCAAAGCAGUACUUCUGUCUUGACAGGAUUCAACCUCAAUCUGUUAGCCGCCAUCCAUCCUCCAACCACCUGUAUAUAUAUACCUGCCAUUUAAUAUUGAAGUUCAUGCACCUGACAAAGCGAAUUCAAGUCCAUUGCAACUUUUGCCAUCAUAAAUUUGCAAAUCCUGAAGAUGUGACCGUUUUCCCUGCAACACAAAGUAACACAUCUACUGCUUUGGAAACUGAAUAAACAUAGAAAUGUAGGGAGCUGGCUUAUACCAAGUCUGACGUUGGUUCUUCUCUUUCAAUGUUAUCUAUACUGACUAGCAACAGAUCUCCAGGAACAGGUACUAUAGGAAUUCUGCUGUUGUGGCUUCUGAUGCAAACUGAGCUGAUUCACCCCUCCCUGAAUAAUGUGUGACUUGGAAUACAAUUAUCCUGCAGAUUUCACACUCCUAGUGGUGUAGCAGUAAAUUAUGAAGCACAGGAGCUCAUAAUGAUGGACCCUAUAGCCAUGUCCCCAUGGAGAGUCCAAAAUGAAGGCAACUGUGUUGCUCAAUGUAUGAAUAUACAUAUACACACACUACAAAGCGGAGCAGUGCAUAGCAAUGUCCUCAAUUUAUUAGGAUCAGCUGACAGUAAAAAAAGAUAUUUGUUGAAUAAAAUAAACAUAAAAAAACACUGAACUUUAACCAAAGAUCUUCAGCAACCUGAAAUGAAAUGCAACCUUUGUCUUUAAUUAGGUAUGAAAAUAAUCUGGCAAAGAAGUGUUGCCAUUAAAUCAGCUAUUCUGAAGGAGAGAUCCCAUCAAAUAAAAGGGAAGAAGAACCUAGCCUCUGUUUGACUAUUUUCCUUGUACCCUGACUUCCUCCAUGCUGAUUUGUGACCAACACUAAGAAAACAUGAAUGUCUCAUCACCUCAUUCACCUCCCUCGAUUACCCAGGCACCCUAGCAGAAAACAUCAUCACUCCUGCCCUGAAAAAAACCUCCUGGAGCUUCCCCCUUCUGUGCUCCCCCUCCAGUACAUCACUGCUUGCCUUUUUGAAUUUUGCAAUACAAAUUUCAGCUAAUAAAAUGCACAAAAAUGCAUUUUAAUGUGUGUGUUUUUAAUAAGCUGCCUUUAGAAAUGUAUACAAUGAGACACAAGAUGCAC
Non-coding RNA from Podarcis lilfordi (Lilford's wall lizard), 6980 nucleotides. NCBI's taxonomy places the organism in Eukaryota, Metazoa, Chordata, Lepidosauria, Squamata, Lacertidae. The record is from the annotation of a GenBank genome assembly.